CCUGGAGACUUUUGGGAAGAACAAGGAGGAGUCCUGGGAGGGAUAAAACUGCCCCUCACCUUCUCCAGCUUCACCCUGCACUCACCACACCUCAGAGGAAGAUGAAGGCCGCAGUGCUCAGCGUGGCCCUGCUCUUCACCAUCCUGCUGUGCACCCCGGAAGAUGCUCAGGCACUUUGGGAAGAAGGUGGAAAAAAUGUGCGGGAGGUACGGUUUCUCAAAUUCAGGAAAGUGAAGAGGGCCGAG
This 245-nucleotide long non-coding RNA is filed under the name Athene cunicularia (burrowing owl). Its description in RNAcentral is "lncRNA (ENSACUG00000013091.1)". Lineage: Eukaryota; Metazoa; Chordata; Aves; Strigiformes; Strigidae. The record is from RNAcentral.